Molecule: non-coding RNA, 2090 nt
Organism: Heterocephalus glaber (naked mole-rat)
Lineage: Eukaryota; Metazoa; Chordata; Mammalia; Rodentia; Bathyergidae
Source: RefSeq, a predicted model, not a curated record
CCGCCCUCGGACGGACUGAGUGCACGCAGGCGGGGGCGCCACGUCCGCCCCGCUCCGCAGACCCCUCCCCGCCGAGCCCGGGGCCCCGCAGAUGGACUUCAUAGAAAGCAAAAUCCCGGCCUCUUGGAGUGUGCUCAUGGAUUCCAUCGGGAGCUCAAGGGCGUAAGCGCGCCGUCCUUCAGAAGGAAACCCCAGAAACUUGGCACCCUCUGCACCGAAGCUCCCCGGGAGGGCCCAAGCGCCGGCCCUCACCACCACCAUCUCUGCAGGUGUUCUGCCAGCGGCAAAAGCCGCGGCACCGUGCCCGCUUGCUGUCCAGGGUGACCAGGGCUGAAAGGACUAAGGAGGGCUUCUGGUGGGUGCUCUCAAGACGCUUGGAGGAGCCACCCACUUCUCUGCCGCAGGCUGGUUCUGUCUGCGCUAUCCACCGCACCCUGGACUGAGAGCACAGGGGACGGCUCCAGGUCCCUCUGUAGGUGAUGACAAGGACUCCCUGAAUGAUGGUAAGCGUAGCCCUGCACAGUGCUUGUAAUAAAGUAAAAAGUUACCCUCCGGAAGAAGAGACCAUAAUCACGUUUCUGAGUCCUCUUUGCCACUGUCACAGAAUUCCGGAGCCAGAGAGGCUCAGAGUUGGGAGAACAACUUCCAACGGAGUCCCCUUUCUGUUCUCCAUAAUUGCUGUUAAAUGCCCCCAGUCCUGUUCUUGAUGUUACCCGGGCCUUUACUUGCCCUUUGUGGGGGACUGGCUUCCCCUGUAGGUCAGCUCUGGUGGUCAGAGGGGUCCUGUGCUAGGCUGAAAUGUUUCUCCCUAUAGCUGCUCCCUGAGGCCCACACGGAGUACAUCUGCUGCUCUGCACCUAGUAGUAAAUUCUUCACAUGCAUGAUGGCCUCACCCCAGUGUCUGCUCCUCCAGUCGGAACACCUGAAGUCCUUUCAUAUUUUGCAUGAUGUCCUCCAGGUACACCAUGCUACUGGCUUAGUUUCUCUGCCACGGUGACAAUGACCUGGGUAACGGGAAGGCAGUCCACAGUGUCCAGGGUGCUAGCAGCAUUUAUAGUUUGAUCUGGGUGGUGAGUACUGUUGGGACUCAGAACAGUAUCCCUAAAGUAUUGCAUGGGAGGGGAGCAUGCUGAGCAAUUUGAUGUAAAGAAAAUUUAAAAGCCUUAAAAGCAAGUUUAGAAUCAAGCUUCCUGUAACCUUUCUCACCUUUUCUUAUUUGUUUGUUGAUUUAGGAGCUGGGGCUUUAACCCAGGGCCUCUUGCAUGCUAAACAUGCAGCAUUUACUCCACCACUGAGCCACACACCAGGCCUCCCCGAAACCUUUCUUGCCUGCUUCCUCAAGCACAGGGACUGGGCUCUGAGGGAUUCCUUUAUCAGCAUUAGGGCUAGACUGCAGAGGGGAACUCAGUUGCCUUGUAUCCUUACCCUCGAAAUCUCAUCAUCUGGCUCAGAAAAGGAGACUGAGGAAUGUCACCCAUGUUGAUGGACUUCCAUUACAAGAGAAUGUCAUUCAAACCCCAAGAAAUUGUCUCUAGGACGGUUGAUUACCUUAACCAUCAUUUGAGCCCUCAAAAUGAUCUAAAGCAGUCUGCAUGCUCCAUCUCCUCCUCCCCUAUAUAAGUUUCUGAAUAAAUCACUUGUGGGUAAUCAUACUCCUGUGAUUUUCCCCAUGCUGUGCUUUUCCCCUUUUGCACAUUAGUAAAUUUAUAUACUUUUCUCCUAUUUAAAAUUUUUUUUAAUACUGAAGAUUGAACCUAAGAAGUGCUGACCUUUAUCCCCAGCCCUUUUACAACAUUUUGAGAGUCUCUAAAUUGCUCAGUCUGACCUUGAACUCAUGAUCCUCCUGCCUUAGCCUCUUAAGUACCUGGGAUCACAGGUGUGUGCUGCCAUCCCCAGCUUCCUAUUUAAUCUUUGUCAAUUUAUUCCAGCAAACUUAAGAGGACAGAGGGAAAUCUCCCUUUACCCCUACACUAUCUCCUUAUAAACAUAUGUAAAAAUGUGCUAGUCUGUACAUUUGCUAUUUCCUCAUUUUAGUGUAAGUUAUACUGUAAUAAAGUAGUAAAUAAAAAUGUGAGGUGCUGCACUGUGAA